GUCCCUGCCCUUUGUACACACCGCCCGUCGCUACUACCGAUUGAACGUUUUAGUGAGGUAUUUGGACCGGGCCUCUGGUGGCUCACGCCUCCAGUGCUGCUCGGGAAGACUCCCAAACCUGAGCGUUUAGAGGAAGUAAAAAUCGUAACAAGGUUACCGUAGGUGAACCUGCGGUAGGAUCAUUA
This 185-nucleotide ribosomal RNA is filed under the name Cyclops kolensis. RNAcentral describes it as "partial 18S ribosomal RNA". It matches the Rfam family "Eukaryotic small subunit ribosomal RNA", at positions 1649 to 1831 of the family's 1831-position model. The record is from RNAcentral. Lineage: Eukaryota; Metazoa; Arthropoda; Copepoda; Cyclopoida; Cyclopidae.